GCUCAGGAUGAACGCUAGCUACAGGCUUAACACAUGCAAGUCGAGGGGUAGCAGGGUAGCAAUACCGCUGACGACCGGCGCACGGGUGAGUAACACGUAUCCAACCUUCCCAUUACUCGGGGAUAGCCUUUCGAAAGAAAGAUUAAUACCCGAUAGUACUUAAUUAUGGCAUCAUGAUUAAGUUAAAGAUUUAUUGGUAAUGGAUGGGGAUGCGUUCCAUUAGAUUGUUGGUGAGGUAACGGCUCACCAAGUCUUCGGUGGAUAGGGGUUCUGAGAGGAAGGUCCCCCACAUUGGUACUGAGACACGGACCAAACUCCUACGGGAGGCAGCAGUGAGGAAUAUUGGUCAAUGGGCGAGAGCCUGAACCA
Molecule: ribosomal RNA, 369 nt
Filed under: uncultured Bacteroidales bacterium
Lineage: Bacteria; Pseudomonadati; Bacteroidota; Bacteroidia; Bacteroidales
Description: bacterial SSU rRNA
Rfam family: Bacterial small subunit ribosomal RNA
Source: RNAcentral